This 77-nucleotide transfer RNA is filed under the name Candidatus Solibacter usitatus Ellin6076. RNAcentral describes it as "tRNA-Val (CAC) (tRNA-Val-CAC-1-1)". It matches the Rfam family "tRNA". Rfam says of the family: Transfer RNA (tRNA) molecules are approximately 80 nucleotides in length. Their secondary structure includes four short double-helical elements and three loops (D, anti-codon, and T loops). Further hydrogen bonds mediate the characteristic L-shaped molecular structure. tRNAs have two regions of fundamental functional importance: the anti-codon, which is responsible for specific mRNA codon recognition, and the 3' end, to which the tRNAs corresponding amino acid is attached (by aminoacyl-tRNA synthetases). tRNAs cope with the degeneracy of the genetic code in two manners: having more than one tRNA (with a specific anti-codon) for a particular amino acid; and 'wobble' base-pairing, i.e. permitting non-standard base-pairing at the 3rd anti-codon position. RNAcentral also lists the same sequence under 23 other names. Lineage: Bacteria; Pseudomonadati; Acidobacteriota; Terriglobia; Bryobacterales; Solibacteraceae. The record is from RNAcentral.
GGGCGCGUAGCUCAGUUGGUUAGAGCGCCUGCUUCACACGCAGGAGGUCACAGGUUCGAGUCCUGUCGCGCCCACCA